This 465-nucleotide ribosomal RNA is filed under the name Vreelandella stevensii. Its description in RNAcentral is "partial 16S ribosomal RNA". It matches the Rfam family "Bacterial small subunit ribosomal RNA", at positions 338 to 795 of the family's 1533-position model. Lineage: Bacteria; Pseudomonadati; Pseudomonadota; Gammaproteobacteria; Oceanospirillales; Halomonadaceae. The record is from RNAcentral.
CCUACGGGAGGCAUCAGUGGGGAAUAUUGGACAAUGGGGGCAACCCUGAUCCAGCCAUGCCGCGUGUGUGAAGAAGGCCCUCGGGUUGUAAAGCACUUUCAGUGAGGAAGAACGCCUGGUGGUUAAUACCCAUCAGGAAAGACAUCACUCACAGAAGAAGCACCGGCUAACUCCGUGCCAGCAGCCGCGGUAAUACGGAGGGUGCGAGCGUUAAUCGGAAUUACUGGGCGUAAAGCGCGCGUAGGUGGCUUGAUAAGCCGGUUGUGAAAGCCCCGGGCUCAACCUGGGAACGGCAUCCGGAACUGUCAAGCUAGAGUGCAGGAGAGGAAGGUAGAAUUCCCGGUGUAGCGGUGAAAUGCGUAGAGAUCGGGAGGAAUACCAGUGGCGAAGGCGGCCUUAUGGACUGACACUGACACUGAGGUGCGAAAGCGUGGGUAGCAAACAGGAUUAGAUACCCCAGUAGUC